UACGUAGGGUGCAAGCGUUGUCCGGAAUUAUUGGGCGUAAAGAGCUCGUAGGCGGCUUGUCGCGUCUGCUGUGAAAACUCAGGGCUUAACCCUGAGCCUGCAGUGGGUACGGGCAGACUAGAGUGUGGUAGGGGAGAUCGGAAUUCCUGGUGUAGCGGUGGAAUGCGCAGAUAUCAGGAGGAACACCGGUGGCGAAGGCGGAUCUCUGGGCCAUAACUGACGCUGAGGAGCGAAAGCAUGGGGAGCGAACAGG
This 253-nucleotide ribosomal RNA is filed under the name uncultured bacterium. RNAcentral's name for it is "partial 16S ribosomal RNA". It matches the Rfam family "Bacterial small subunit ribosomal RNA", at positions 524 to 776 of the family's 1533-position model. The record is from RNAcentral.